AAGCCACUCUGACAUUCUACUAGAAGCAAACGAGAACCAACCGAUCGGGCCGACCUUCACCCGUCUCUCCCCCGAGUCCAUUCCAGACUCUUUGCACGUCAGCCUGUCGCCGCCCUUCACCUCAGCUUCUGGUUCCACCAGAACUUCUACCACAUUCUCUCCUCGCCUGCCAUUUCUCCAACCUCCAACUCCGGUCGCUCCUUGAGAACCGGCGCCGCGACCACAGCCUCUCGUGAUGGAAACCCAGGAUACCUCGUCCGAAUCCUGAGCCGCUCGGGUCCCAAAGACCUUCAAGCUGCUCGUCACACCUCACAUAGUGGAGAUUUGUGGGGGUCGUUGUGCUCCAACGUAGCUUCUCACAAGCCAGCAGACCGAUAAAGUCCUCCACGCCACAUGUGACGCCCACCAAUGUGUUUACACAGUCCCAGAUCGUCUCUGAGCUGCUCUGGUUCUUCUGUGUGAGGAGCAGCUUUAGCACCUGACCGGAUGCUGGU
Molecule: long non-coding RNA, 494 nt
Organism: Gasterosteus aculeatus aculeatus (three-spined stickleback)
Lineage: Eukaryota; Metazoa; Chordata; Actinopteri; Perciformes; Gasterosteidae
Source: Ensembl